UAAAAAGUUUAAUCCACCCUUAUCCCCUAAACACAAAAAAAGAUUGGCGGGAACAUUAAUUUCCAUCUUAAUAAGGAGAGGGAACUAGUAUUUCCACUCCAAGGUGGAACAAUUAAGCUUGGAUAACCUAGCUUGUUCCACCCGUGAAGAGAGAGAGAGAGAGAAUAUUUAAUUUAUUAUAAAAUUUAAAUUUCAUAAGUUCAAAAGUUAAAAUUUAUAUAAUUUUUAAAAUUACAAAAUUAAAAAUUUAAAUUCUAAAUUGUUUAAUUUUAAAAUUUUAAAUUUGUUUAUAUUUAGAAUUUGAUAUUUUGUAUUUUUAAAUUAAAAUUUCAUAUUAAAUUUAAAGUUUAAAAUUUUAUAUUUUAAAUUUUAAAAUAUAAAUAUAAAAUAUAAAAAUUCAAAUUCUGGUAUAAAGAAAGGGAUAAUAUCAUUAUUUUUUACUCAUAAGUUAUAACUAUCUACUUUAAUUCUUUUCUCAUCUUACCUAAGCAAAUGCUAUUUUCUUUUAUUCCUAAAAAUAACUCAAUUUUUCAAUUAAAUGCAAAAUUGAUUUAAUCUUUUCUUAUACUUCAAUUUAUACAUAUUUCUGGAAUAGCCAUUUUUCGCUUAUCACUGACCAGGUUGGAAUUAAUUGAGUAAAGUUGAUUUACGUGUUACAGUAACAAUCAAUAAAGAGUUACUUAUUUG
This 687-nucleotide long non-coding RNA is filed under the name Ananas comosus (pineapple). RNAcentral's name for it is "long non-coding RNA (ACOM_LNC021660)". Lineage: Eukaryota; Viridiplantae; Streptophyta; Magnoliopsida; Poales; Bromeliaceae. The record is from RNAcentral.